UCGCUUGUAUCGCAUGCAGACCCUUUCGUCACAGCGCACAGGCCGAACGUGUAACUACAUGGUAUAGACGUAGGACAAAAGACGUCUGAUUGGGCAGUGUGCCCAUCGCGAUACUACAGUUAGCAUUAAAAUACGCGCGAGCUACUGGGAACAACAGUCUGAUGAGGGAACUGCCGCAGCGGAACUGAGAAACUAGGAAACUUUAUGUGGUGGGCAGCGAUCGAUACGGAGACAGCCUUAUCGGUAGCACCGAUCUUACUUGUGGUUGCAGCAGUAGCGGUUGUUCGAGCUGAUUCUUCUGUUUUUUUUUUUUACUUUUUUGCUUCAACAUGAAGGACUUGACCGUGCUUGUAUCAUGCCAUUGACUAUGACGUCCGUAGAAUGCUGUGGAAGAGUCAGUCCAAGCAACGACCACAGCUUCACCAACAGUCGUUAUGGCGACGACAGUGACAGACCCAGACGUCUUUAAAUUGAAUGUUCCUCAGCCGGAUGAAUCGUCUUUUCCCAAAAUUGAAUUGUAUUUGUGUGUUUCUCGUGGUUUAUCUCAAACAAGCUGUCCAAAGCAGUAAACUAAACGUAAGAUGUGGAAUCCAAGCUAUUGUUUUCCAAAUCGCACAAUUCCUACAUGCUUAUUGAUUGGCGUGGUGGUGACCUUGCCUACCUAAUGGAUUCACAUGACAGCACUAUAAAUCGUUGUCUUGUCUCGUUAGAAAGUAACUGGGUUGCUAUCGUACUAGUCGUCGUCUUGACAAUUCGGCAGUCGUACCUCUUCAACGAAUACAUCGUACUUUCACGAUCGUGUAAGGAGCAGGGGUCUCUUUCUGACUCACUGGGAAAGUAGAGUGCUAACCUUGAAGCGUUUUCUGUUUGCUUCUAAUGUCUAUGAAAAUUUGACACUCAGAUACUCUACAAAGAGCUUUCUGGAAGUUCUUCCAUUGCGCACCCAUUUGCACCCUUUCCGCCGUUUUUAUACGAAAAACUCUAACUCCGCUAAAUUUGGCUGCAAAUGGUUCAAGACUAUACAGCAAAGAAGUCCGACGUUCUGCUUCUAGCGGCGCACCGACAAAAGGUGUUCAGGAAAAAAACACGCAGCUUCUGCGCGUUCCGAUUGUCGAGGCAAAGCAGACCAUAAAGGUGGCAAAUCUAGGGCACGGACCCUGAAUGAGUGCGAGCAUCUUUCGGCAUUAGGCAACCUACUAGCUUCGGUUUCUAAUAUAUAUUGUUAUUAGGUUACUGAAAGAGUAUUGAGCAUUAUCAAGCCAAAAUUGAA
Varroa destructor (honeybee mite) is the source of this 1270-nucleotide RNA transcript. RefSeq lists it as uncharacterized. The record is from RefSeq and is a predicted model, not a curated record. NCBI's taxonomy places the organism in Eukaryota, Metazoa, Arthropoda, Arachnida, Mesostigmata, Varroidae.